Molecule: ribosomal RNA, 387 nt
Filed under: Rhizosolenia sp.
Lineage: Eukaryota; Bacillariophyta; Coscinodiscophyceae; Rhizosoleniales; Rhizosoleniaceae
Description: SSU rRNA
Rfam family: Eukaryotic small subunit ribosomal RNA
Source: RNAcentral
AGCUCCAAUAGCGUAUAUUAAAGUUGUUGCAGUUAAAAAGCUCGUAGUUGGAUUUCUGGUGGGAGCGAUCGGUCCGGCUCUUUGAGUUGGUACUUGUAUUGUCUCCUACCAUCUUUCAGGAAAACCUGUCUGGCAUUAAGUUGUCGAGCAGUUGAUCCUGAUCUUUUACUGUGAAAAAAUUAGAGUGUUCAAAGCAGGCUUAUGCCGUUGAAUAUAUUAGCAUGGAAUAAUAAGAUAGGACUAUGGCUCUAUUUUGUUGGUUUGUGCGCCAUGGUAAUGAUUAAUAGGGACAGUUGGGGGUAUUCGUAUUCCAUUGUCAGAGGUGAAAUUCUUGGAUUUAUGGAAGACGAACUACUGCGAAAGCAUUUACCAAGGAUGUUUUCAUUA